AGAGUUUGAUUCUGGCUCAGGAUGAACGCUAGCGGCAGGCUUAACACAUGCAAGUCGAGGGGUAUAGUAGCAAUACUAGGGACCGGCGCACGGGUGCGUAACGCGUAUGCAAUCUACCUUUUGCAGAGGGAUAGCCCAGAGAAAUUUGGAUUAAUACCUCAUAGUAUUAUAGUAUGGCAUCAUAUUAUAAUUAAAGUCACAACGGCAAAAGAUGAGCAUGCGUCCCAUUAGCUAGUUGGUAAGGUAACGGCUUACCAAGGCGACGAUCAGUAGGGGGCGUGAGAGCGUGGCCCCCCACACGGGUACUGAGACACGGACCCGACUCCUACGGGAGGCAGCAGUAAGGAAUAUUGGUCAAUG
Molecule: ribosomal RNA, 360 nt
Filed under: uncultured bacterium MK02
Lineage: Bacteria; Pseudomonadati; Bacteroidota
Description: bacterial SSU rRNA
Rfam family: Bacterial small subunit ribosomal RNA
Source: RNAcentral